Molecule: long non-coding RNA, 1012 nt
Organism: Ictalurus furcatus (blue catfish)
Lineage: Eukaryota; Metazoa; Chordata; Actinopteri; Siluriformes; Ictaluridae
Exons: 3
Source: RefSeq, a predicted model, not a curated record
CACACGCACGCACGCACACACACACACACGCACGCACGCACACACGCACACACACACAAACAGAUACAGACACACACACACACACACACACACACACACACACACACAAACAGACACACACACACACACACACGCACACACACACCACACGCACACACACAGCCACACGCACACACAGCCACACAGACACACACAGACACACACACACACACACACACACACAUACAUAACCUGUCCAAUCAGAGCAAAAGAAAAUAAAAUUGCUCCAUCCGGUAGGUGAUGUUAUAAGCACCAUAAGUUUAUAGAAGAAGAAGGCCUCACCCACCCUCUAGGUAUAAAAAUACUCUGUACUUCGAAGAUCGUGUGUGAGCUUACAACAUGUCUGCUGCUUGUCCUGAUGCACCGAAAAAAACUCACUCUUUUUUGGGAAGAUUACAAAAAAAUUUAGAGCAUGAAAAGAUUCAAUAUUGGGUAAUGUCAAACGGAUGUACAGCCGGAUUUUUUUCAGUGCAGAAAAAGGAACCGUUGUGCUUUUCAAGUUCUCGGUCCCGGGUCACAUCCGCUGGAGCUGCGCUACUGAGAGCGUAACUUUUAACGAGUGUGACUGGAGAAAGUUCAGAAAAUGGUGCAAGGAAUUUGACUACAUUAUUAGAAUGGACUUCUUUUCCCCGGAUGCGUACAGGCGUAAAUGGAGCAGUUCAUCUCUGCAAUGCAAAUACCGCAUCAGAGCAACAAAUUUCUGCAAGAACCAGGUUUCGCUGCACUGUGUUUCGGUAUUAACCGGUGACGACACACACUUUCACAAAGAGAUCAUAAUUAUCGCUGCAUGUUCUUUACCAUAUAGCUUUCCCAUGAAUACCAACCCAACCCACUACACAAGAUGAGGGCGUCGUGACUAUCAGUGCUUACGGCGGAGAUAUUUCAGAUACGAGUGAUGUCGAAAAUUUUGAUGCAGUAGAAGAUCGAGAGGAAAUCAACUCGGAAGCCGACAUUCGACCCGAUCUGGAAUUGC